AGAAGUUUAGGAUAUAGUAAAGUCCAAGAGCCUUCAAAGCCCUUAGAAAACAAACAAGUUUAACUUCUG
RNAcentral lists this transfer RNA (69 nucleotides) under Rattus tunneyi (Tunney's rat). RNAcentral's name for it is "tRNA-Trp". The record is from RNAcentral. Lineage: Eukaryota; Metazoa; Chordata; Mammalia; Rodentia; Muridae.